AUUGAACGCUGGCGGCAGGCUUAACACAUGCAAGUCGAGCGGAGAUGAGGUGCUUGCACCUAAUCUUAGCGGCGGACGGGUGAGUAAUGCUUAUGAAUCUGCCUAUUAGUGGGGGACAACAUUCCGAAAGGAAUGCUAAUACCGCAUACGUCCUACUGGAGAAAGCAGGGGAUCUCUGGACCUCGCGCUAAUAGAUGAGCCUAAGUCGGAUUAGCUAGUUGGUGGGGUAAAGGCCUACCAAGGCGACGAUCUGUAGCGGGUCUGGGAGGAUGAUCCGCCACACUGGGACUGAGACACGGCCCAGACUCCUACGGGAGGCAGCAGUGGGGAAUAUUGGACAAUGGGGGAAACCCUGAUCCAGCCAUGCCGCGUGUGUGAAGAAGGCCUUAUGGUUGUAAAGCACUUUAAGCGAGGAGGAGGCUACUGAGACUAAUACUCUUGGAUAGUGGACGUUACUCGCAGAAUAAGCACCGGCUAACUCUGUGCCAGCAGCCGCCGUAA
RNAcentral lists this ribosomal RNA (501 nucleotides) under uncultured bacterium. RNAcentral's name for it is "partial 16S ribosomal RNA". It matches the Rfam family "Bacterial small subunit ribosomal RNA", at positions 30 to 523 of the family's 1533-position model. The record is from RNAcentral.